AGGUUGGAGGGAUAUUUAUGUCCAUAUCCUUCGGAGCUACUCUUGACAGUAGAGCACUCCGCAGGUGAGUCACUGUUCAAUGAUGAUGUAUUGAUGUGAGAUAAUCCUAAUGAAAAGAAAAAGAAAUCAAUCCUAAAGAUCAAGCUCCCUUUUGUUCAUCAACAACAAAUCACAUCUGGUCAAGAGCAUCAUUAUUCUCAAGAUAGAUAAUAUAGUUGCCCAUACUCUGCUCAGGAGGCAUGAUUGAUUGAUAUGAGAUCAAAGCGAGAUCAAUCUAAAUGAUGCAGAUGAAUGUCAUUCUGAAAAUCAAUAAACAACUAGCAAUAAGAAAGUACAUAAACAGAUAGUAGAAAUUAAACAUGCUUAUGAGUAAAUAGAAAAAGAAAUAUGAAUG
RNAcentral lists this long non-coding RNA (394 nucleotides) under Elaeis guineensis (African oil palm). RNAcentral's name for it is "long non-coding RNA (EGUI_LNC064019)". Lineage: Eukaryota; Viridiplantae; Streptophyta; Magnoliopsida; Arecales; Arecaceae. The record is from RNAcentral.